Molecule: long non-coding RNA, 291 nt
Organism: Hordeum vulgare subsp. vulgare (domesticated barley)
Lineage: Eukaryota; Viridiplantae; Streptophyta; Magnoliopsida; Poales; Poaceae
Exons: 2
Source: RefSeq, a predicted model, not a curated record
CAGCCAGCCCGGCCUUGGGCGGCCCAGCUGCGCGGUGAGCCCAGCUCGCACCUGGCCUAGCCCUGCCCACGGCCCACCAGCCUCCUCAGCAUGCCCCGCCCUGCCUCCUCCAUCGACCUGGGCUAGCCCAGCAUGGCCAGCAGCUUGGGAUAGCAAGGAUGCACGGCGUUCUUUUAUCAUUUGUUUUCAUCCGUAGUUGAACGCUCCUCUUCUACACGAUGAUUUAAUAUAUUGUUCUAUUGUGUUGUUCAUGUUGUAGCUUGUGGCGAGUGUAAGCCAAUUUCAUAUACC